This 642-nucleotide ribosomal RNA is filed under the name uncultured marine bacterium. RNAcentral's name for it is "bacterial SSU rRNA". It matches the Rfam family "Bacterial small subunit ribosomal RNA", at positions 8 to 665 of the family's 1533-position model. The record is from RNAcentral.
AGAGUUUGAUCAUGGCUCAGGACGAACGCUGGCGGCGGGCCUUAUGCAUGCAAGUCGAACGCACUCGACCUUCGGGUCAUAUGAGUGAGUGGCGAACGGGUGAGUAACACGUGAGAAACCUGCCCCGAAGACUGGAAUAACCCGGGGAAACUCGGGCUAAUACCGGAUACCCCCAACUAAUCGCAUGGUUAGUUGAGGAAAUGCUCCGGCGCUUCGGGAGGGUCUCGCGGCCUAUCAGCUAGUUGGUGAGGUAACGGCUCACCAAGGCAACGACGGGUAGCUGGUCUGAGAGGACGAUCAGCCACACUGGGACUGAGACACGGCCCAGACUCCUACGGGAGGCAGCAGCAGGGAAUCUUGCGCAAUGGGCGAAAGCCUGACGCAGCCACGCCGCGUGAGGGAUGAAGGCUCUAGGGUCGUAAACCUCUUUCAGCAGGGAAGAAAAUGACGGUACCUGCAGAAGAAGCUCCGGCCAACUACGUGCCAGCAGCCGCGGUAACACGUAGGGAGCGAGCGUUGUCCGGAUUUAUUGGGCGUAAAGAGCUCGUAGGCUGUUCAGUAAGUCAGGUGUGAAAACUCGAGGCUCAACCUCGAGACGCCACCUGAAACUGCUGUGACUAGAGUCCGGUAGGGGAGUGUGGA